GGAAGCGUUCCCGAGAACUAGGGGCUGCUUUGAUAGAGCAGACACAGAGACACAAACCUCUCUCUUCCCA
RNAcentral lists this transfer RNA (70 nucleotides) under Calumma cucullatum. RNAcentral describes it as "tRNA-Ile". The record is from RNAcentral. Lineage: Eukaryota; Metazoa; Chordata; Lepidosauria; Squamata; Chamaeleonidae.